Molecule: ribosomal RNA, 442 nt
Filed under: uncultured bacterium
Lineage: Bacteria
Description: partial 16S ribosomal RNA
Rfam family: Bacterial small subunit ribosomal RNA
Source: RNAcentral
CCUACGGGGGGCAGCAGUGGGGAAUAUUUGGCAAUGGGCGCAAGCCUGACCCAGCAACGCCGCGUGAAGGAAGAAGGCUUUCGGGUUGUAAACUUCUUUUGUCAGGGAAGAGUAGAAGACGGUACCUGACGAAUAAGCCACGGCUAACUACGUGCCAGCAGCCGCGGUAAUACGUAGGUGGCAAGCGUUGUCCGGAUUUACUGGGUGUAAAGGGCGUGUAGCCGGGUUGGCAAGUCAGAUGUGAAAUCCUGCGGCUUAACCGCAGAACUGCAUUUGAAACUGUUGAUCUUGAGUACUGGAGAGGCAGACGGAAUUCCUGGUGUAGCGGUGAAAUGCGUAGAUAUUAGGAGGAACACCAGUGGCGAAGGCGGUCUGCUGGACAGCAACUGACGGUGAGGCGCGAAGGCGUGGGGAGCAAACAGGAUUAGAUACCCCAGUAGUC